AUAGGUGUGUAGUUUAGGUAAAAUUCUUAUAACUGCAUUUGUCUGUUUUACAACAGAUAAACAGUAACCAAGUAUAAAUGUACUGUUUUUUUUAUGUUGGAUGGAUCAUCAGACCUGCACCUUCCUUGAACAUGUUGGUAUCUUACUCUGUAUUUGUUCACGGUGGUCACCCCAGGGUCUCAGGACUCAAAUUGAGUGCUCUAUGGAUUAAACAGAAAAUGCAGUAUAAACAAGUGUUAUGUUGUCUUGAACAUGUUGGUAACUUACUCUGUAUUUGUUCACGGUGGUCACCCCAGGGUCUCAGGACUCAAAACGAGUGCUCUAUGGAUUGAACAUAAAAUGUAGUAUAAACAAGUGUUAUGUUUUUAAAUGCCACUAAUAAUGUGUUUCUGUUUUCUUUCUCAUUAUGCUAACAAACACUCUUUUACCCCUCAUGUUAGGUAGAUCAACACUCCAACCAUCUGCAUUAGGGACUGAAUAAAGGAUGCCCUCUGUAGCUGGGAAUGUUAGAUCAGGCGGAUCAACAUUCCAUCCAUCUGCAUUAGGAUCUACCUUAGAGACACUCACUGGAGCUGUAAAUGGGAAGCAGGUCACUUACUUUGCAUUCGUCCUUGGUGGUCACCCAAGGGUCUCUAGAGUGAAAAUUACUCAAUCUAUGGAUUAAACAGAAAAUUUAGUUGUAUGAAGUGGCUCCGUCCUAGAAGGCUGCAUGUCUCGGCUGCCACGUCAUCAAGCAUCGUCGAAGGACAUAUCAAUCUGCUUGUUUUCUAUUUUGUUGUUUUAAUUUAAUUACAAAAUGUUUAACUGUCCAUGUUGUAAAGACAGUUGAUACAUGACUUUUAUUCACUGUACUACAUUAUUGGAUUUUUUUGGUGAUGCAUUGCUAAUUUUCAACUUCUCUCUUUAAAGUUUUCAUGCCAUGAUCACUGGGGCGGAAACCAUUAUUACGUUGCCUUGGACAUCAAACUAAACCAUCUCAUUUUGGCUUUUUUCUAACAUCGAAAUCUCAGAAGGCCAGGACUAAGAUGGACGCAGCCUCCACAUGCAACCUUGCAUUUGAGGAACACCCAUAGAACGGUCAACUUACCCCAUACUCUAACCUGAAUGCAGGGAUCAUAAAACUUUAUCUUUUACCUUAAUUGUUAGAUUGGUGUUGAUACCAAACUUUUUUGUCUCGUCUACCAAGGAGAAAGUCAUGGGUUCUGCUGCUGAGGUUGUCAUAAAGCAUGCUUUUUCCAUUUGUUGCAUUGGGCAAUAUUAUCAAAAGAUUCUGAAAGAAAUAAGAUAAUUUUCAAAGCAUUAACAUGAAUAUGAAAGCAUUAAGUCAUUAAUGACCAUCUUUUAUUAUUGUUUAUUUAUAGUGUCUUUUAUUCUGCUUACCUGACUCAUGCAGAAUUCUGGCUUGAUGUUUGGUCCACCUGUUAGUUGGCUCUGGUGCUUGGUAGUCUUCUCAAACCUCUGAAUCAAGGCCACCAUGAGAGGCCUUCUGAAGACCAUCAUUCAUUACGCUUCAGAUCCAGUUGUCUUAACUAUGAGCCUACCACAAUCCCUGUGCACCAGCUAUGGAAACCAAAGUGCAAACUAGUGCAAACCAAACUUCUACCUCCACCUAUAGAACUGAACUGGAGUCUGUGAACUAAUGCUGUGUUCGAGACAACUGGAACAGCAAACAAAGUUGAGUAUCCGACCUCUCAACUUGGGACAGAUCGAUCAGCACCAACCUCAACGAGAUGCAUCAUUUGACAUUGCAGACAAGAUCCUUUCUCUUUUUAAUGCAGCACUUAAGGAUGAACCACCCUGAUCUACUAAGAUGCACAGAUUGAACUCUGGCCCAGCAUCAUCCCCACACCUCAUCUGCCAUCAGUUUAAUUUAAUGUCUGUCAAUUGCAAAUGCUAUUUAUUUCAGUUAUAUUACAACUUAAUGUUAACUUUAAUUGAGACUAGUAUUGUGUAAAGCUGGGGUUUCCAAACUUUUCAUUUCAAAACCUAUUAGACAAGUGUAAUCUAUUCUAGACCCACUAAAAUAUUUUUUAAUGGGCUAAAACACAUUUGUUCUCUUUCCGUGGAGUCAUUUUAUUUUCAUAAUAUUUCAUAAUGUAAAGCAGUGGUUCUUAACGUUAUUCCUCGAGGCCCAUUGCUCUGCACAUUUUGUAUGUCUCUUUUAUCUGACAGACUCAGUUCAGUUCAUUGAGAUCUCUUCUAAUGAGCUGAUGAUUUGAAUCAGGUGUGUUAAAUAAGAAGGAC
This is a non-coding RNA of Paramisgurnus dabryanus, 2244 nucleotides long. NCBI's taxonomy places the organism in Eukaryota, Metazoa, Chordata, Actinopteri, Cypriniformes, Cobitidae. The record is from RefSeq and is a predicted model, not a curated record.